CACAUUUUAUUUGCAACAAAUGAUGUCCAUCUUCCUUCAUAGUCCAUCCGGUUAUUGUAACAAAAGAUCCUAAGAGUUGGCAUCAUAUUUAUAUGAAACUCUGAGUAGAGAGAAUACAGAAAAAUGCAAAAUCAACAUGUAGACUCCUGCCUUGGGGAUAUGGUAUUCUAUUCUUAAAUCAACUAGUUUCCAAGCCUUGGGUAACCAUUGAUGAUGCAAAUCCGUUGCCUCUGCCAUAAUCAUUUCAUGGAAUAUCUUCUUUGACUUGUGAUUCAAUCUUAGCAACACAAAGAUCAUGAACGUGCGGUUAUUUGUG
Molecule: long non-coding RNA, 316 nt
Filed under: Physcomitrium patens
Lineage: Eukaryota; Viridiplantae; Streptophyta; Bryopsida; Funariales; Funariaceae
Description: long non-coding RNA (PPAT_LNC004997)
Source: RNAcentral